AAAAUACCCAAAUAACCCAUUCAGCCAACAAAACCCUCGAUUUCUAUGAGUUUCAAAAUGGCAUUUGGAGCUCUGAGAACUAUAACUUACCCACAAACAAGAACCCUAAUGUCUCAUACUUCCAAUUCUACUUUAGCUUUUUCUAUGACAUUUUUUUUGUCCCUUUCUCUUUCUGCAAACCUCGACUUUCACUUUGCUCUUUAUCAAUCUCCAUGAUUCCAUAUUUCAAGUCAUUUUAGCAUCUUCUCUGAGUCAAAUCAUUUUGAUGAGGCCAGCUUGAGAACUCCUGGAUAUAACAUGUUGAAGUCAUCAACUAUUGAUUCAUUUUUUUAAGAGGAAAUAAAAGGCUACAAACAUUUCACAAUCUAGUGAGCGAGCUUCUGCGUCUAUUGAUAAUGCAAUUGUUGAGCAAUCACCAUCCAAAGUUCCAAGAAUUGAUCAUGAAGAGGUUGAUAUCGCUUCUUUGAUUUAUAAUCCAGGUUUACGCCCUCAAAUUUGGUAGUAUCCAGUUAAUCAACAAGAUGAAAUUUGAAGUGCAUAUAUCAAAUUUGGGCCAUAUUGUCCUCUUGCAUCUAAAUUUGAAUAUCCAUUCUCUAGUUAAGAAAGUCAUCCUCAUCGAUUUCAAUUUCACUAGUUUAAAAGUUUUCCAUGAUUAGAGUACUCUCCUGCAAAAGAAGUUGCAUUUUGU
Molecule: unclassified non-coding RNA, 688 nt
Filed under: Hevea brasiliensis (rubber tree)
Lineage: Eukaryota; Viridiplantae; Streptophyta; Magnoliopsida; Malpighiales; Euphorbiaceae
Source: RNAcentral